RNAcentral lists this ribosomal RNA (371 nucleotides) under uncultured organism. RNAcentral describes it as "partial 16S ribosomal RNA". It matches the Rfam family "Bacterial small subunit ribosomal RNA", at positions 526 to 896 of the family's 1533-position model. The record is from RNAcentral.
GGAGGGGUGUAAGCGUUAUUCGGAAUUAUUGGGCGUAAAGAGCGCGUAGGCGGUUUUUUAAGUCAGAUGUGAAAGCCCGAGGCUUAACCUCGGAAGUGCAUUUGAAACUAAGAGACUUGAGUAUGGGAGAGGGAGUGGAAUUCCUGGUGUAGAGGUGAAAUUCGUAGAUAUCAGGAGGAACACCGGUGGCGAAGGCGACUUCCUGGACCAAUACUGACGCUGAGGCGCGAAGGCGUGGGGAGCAAACAGGAUUAGAUGCCCUGGUAGUCCACGCAGUAAACGGUGAACACUAGGUGUAGCGGGUAUUGACCCCUGCUGUGCCGAAGUUAACGCAUUAAGUGUUCCGCCUGGGGAGUACGACCGCAAGGUUA